RNAcentral lists this ribosomal RNA (821 nucleotides) under uncultured marine archaeon. RNAcentral's name for it is "bacterial SSU rRNA". It matches the Rfam family "Archaeal small subunit ribosomal RNA", at positions 23 to 844 of the family's 1478-position model. The record is from RNAcentral.
CUGACUGCUAUCGGAUUGAUACUAAGCCAUGCGAGUCAUUGUAGUAAUACAAGGCAGACGGCUCAGUAACGCGUAGUCAACCUAACCUAUGGACGGGAAUAACCUCGGGAAACUGAGUAUAAUGCCCGAUAGAACAUUAUGCCUGGAAUGGUUUAUGUUCCAACAUGAUUUAUCGCCGUAGGAUGGGACUGCGGCCUAUCAGUUUGUUGGUGAGGUAAUGGCCCACCAAGACUAUUACAGGUACGGGCUCUGAGAGGAGUAGCCCGGAGAUGGGUACUGAGACACGGACCCAGGCCCUAUGGGGCGCAGCAGGCGAGAAAACUUUGCAAUGUGCGAAAGCACGACAAGGUUAAUCCGAGUGGUUUCUGCUAAAGGAACCUUUUGUCGGUCCUAGAAACACCGAUGAAUAAGGGGUGGGCAAGUUCUGGUGUCAGCCGCCGCGGUAAAACCAGCACCUCAAGUGGUCAGGAUGAUUAUUGGGCCUAAAGCAUCCGUAGCCGGCUCUGUAAGUUUUCGGUUAAAUCUGUACGCUCAACGUACAGGCUGCCGGGAAUACUGCAGAGCUAGGGAGUGGGAGAGGUAGACGGUACUCGGUAGGAAGGGGUAAAAUCCUUUGAUCUAUUGAUGACCACCUGUGGCGGAGGCGGUCUACCAGAACACGUCCGACGGUGAGGGAAUGAAAGCUGGGGGAGCAAACCCGGAUUAAGAUACCCGGGGUAGUCCCCAGCUGUAAACUAUGCAAACUCAGUGAUGCAUUGGCUUGUGGCCAAUGCAGUGCUGCAGGGAAGCCGUUAAGUUUGCCCCCUGGGAAGUACGUACGC